RNAcentral lists this long non-coding RNA (382 nucleotides) under Elaeis guineensis (African oil palm). Its description in RNAcentral is "long non-coding RNA (EGUI_LNC035470)". Lineage: Eukaryota; Viridiplantae; Streptophyta; Magnoliopsida; Arecales; Arecaceae. The record is from RNAcentral.
AAGCAGUUUGACUCCCUAGAGUACAGUGAAGGCACUGUUUAUCUACCGGAUGGAUCGAGCUAUGCGAAUAGUGGCAUCAGAACAGUCAGCUGGAGGACACAUGAUGGUGUAGUGAGGAGAUUGGAGAAGAUCCGAUACAUAUCCGAUUUCAGACAGAAUCUUAUCUCACUGAGUAGAUUGGAUUCGAGAGGCUACAAGACGAUAGCUGGUGGAAGAAUCCUAAAGGUAUUACGCAGCGAUAAGAUUAUUCUAAAAGAAAAGAAGAGGAUGAGAGAACAUUACUAUCUGAUGGAGAGCUUAGUGCGAGGUGGAGCUUCAGGAGCAAGGAGGAGUCCAGAGUGAGGUGGAGCUCCAGAUGGUGGAUCGGGUACUAGAUAGGAGA